GUACUGUGCGAACGUUAUUCGGAAUCACUGGGCUUAAAGGGUGCGUAGGCGGCCGUUCAAGUCGGGUGUGAAAUCUCUCGGCUCAACCGAGGAAUUGCGCUCGAAACUAGACGGCUUGAGUAAGAUAGGGGUGUGUGGAACUUCCAGUGGAGCGGUGAAAUGUGUUGAUAUUGGAAGGAACGCCGGUAGCGAAAGCGACACACUGGGUCUUAACUGACGCUGAGGCACGAAAGCCAGGGUAGCGAACGGGAUUAGAUACCCCGGUAGUCCUGGCUGUAAACGUUGAGCACUAGACGGGAGGGACUUCGGUUCAUCCGGUCGCAGCGAAAGCACUAAGUGCUCCGCCUGGGGAGUAUGGUCGCAAGGCUG
Molecule: ribosomal RNA, 369 nt
Filed under: uncultured organism
Description: partial 16S ribosomal RNA
Rfam family: Bacterial small subunit ribosomal RNA
Source: RNAcentral